This 450-nucleotide ribosomal RNA is filed under the name uncultured bacterium. RNAcentral describes it as "partial 16S ribosomal RNA". It matches the Rfam family "Bacterial small subunit ribosomal RNA", at positions 354 to 796 of the family's 1533-position model. The record is from RNAcentral.
GUGGGGAAUAUUGGACAAUGGGCGAAAGCCUGAUCCAGCCAUGCCGCGUGUGUGAAGAAGGUCUUCGGAUUGUAAAGCACUUUAAGUUGGGAGGAAGGGCAGUAAGUUAAUACCUUGCUGUUUUGACGUUACCGACAGAAUAAGCACCGGCUAACUUCGUGCCAGCAGCCGCGGUAAUACGAAGGGUGCAAGCGUUAAUCGGAAUUACUGGGCGUAAAGCGCGCGUAGGUGGUUCAGCAAGUUGAAGGUGAAAUCCCCGGGCUCAACCUGGGAACUGCAUCCAAAACUACUGAGCUAGAGUACGGUAGAGGGUAGUGGAAUUUCCUGUGUAGCGGUGAAAUGCGUAGAUAUAGGAAGGAACACCAGUGGCGAAGGCGACUACCUGGACUGAUACUGACACUGAGGUGCGAAAGCGUGGGGAGCAAACAGGAUUAGAAACCCGUGUAGUCC